AUGCUGCGGCGGCACAAGGGAAGGGAAUCGGCGUCGUCGUCGGAUUCCACCUUCUACCAGCUGCGCCCCGACUGCGCCCACAACGUCCCCGACACCAAGUUCAAGAUCAAGAUUGGCAAGACGCUGAGCGUACGCAAAUGGCACGCCGCCUUCACGCACCACGGAUCCCUCCACAUCGCCUCUGUUCUAAACCGGAUUCAGAGCGGGGGUGUGCACCCUGCAAUCAGGGGAGAGGUCUGGGAGUUCCUGCUCGGCUGCUUCGAUCCCGACAGCACAUUCGAUGACCGCGACCACAUCAGGCAAGCAAGAAGGAUACAGUAUGCUAGAUGGAAGGAACAAUGCAAACACAUGGAUCCUCACGUCGGCAGCGGCAAAAUCAUCACCGCCCCCAUCAUAACCGAGGAUGGCGUGCCUAUCAAGGACCCUUUGGUUUUACUUGAAGCCGCCACUCCAGACCAGCAAGCUAGUUUGAUCAGCACCAAGAAUGGAGAUGAGGCCGACCACCGCCUCACGGAUAAACAGACUAUCGAAUGGAAGCUUACGCUGCACCAAAUCGGUCUUGAUGUUCUUCGCACUGACCGCUCCAUGGUCUUCUACGAGAAGAAAGAAAAUCUCUCCAAGUUAUGGGAUAUUCUAGCUGUCUAUGCGUGGAUCGACAAAGAAGUUGGGUAUUGCCAAGGAAUGAGUGAUUUAUGCUCACCGAUGAUAGUGCUACUCAAUGAUGAAGCAGACGCGUUUUGGUGCUUUGAGAGACUCAUGCGUAGACUGCGCGGGAAUUUCAGAUGCACACAGCAAUCCGUUGGGGUUGAGAACCAGCUUCAGCACCUUGCCUCUAUCAUUCAGGUGCUGGACCCAAAGUUACAUGACCACCUCGAAACACUUGGCGGAGGCGACUAUCUCUUUGCAUUCCGCAUGUUCAUGGUAUUGUUUCGCCGUGAACUGUCAUUUGGGGACUCCUUGUACCUUUGGGAGAUGAUGUGGGCUCUAGAAUAUGACCCUGACAUGUUCUCCACAUAUGAAGAGAGCGGGCCUGCAACUGACAGAAGUGCUCAAGGAUAUAAACCAAGAGUAAAAUCAACCCGUCAGUUUGGCAAGUACGAGAGGGCGAAUAUGAAGAGUGCUACUAACGGUGUUGAUGGGCCUGUCCCUAUUUCUGUUUUCCUGGUUGCUAGUGUAUUGAAAGAGAACAGUCAGAAGCUGUUGCAAGAAGCCCGGGGAUUAGAUGACAUCAUUAGGAUAUUGAACAAUGUGAAUGGGAACUUGGAUGCAAAGAAGGCUUGCGCUGGUGCACUGAAACUUCACGCCAAGUACCUUAGAAAGAUGCAGGGAAAGAAAGCCUAA
RNAcentral lists this ribosomal RNA (1341 nucleotides) under Triticum aestivum (bread wheat). RNAcentral describes it as "partial small subunit ribosomal RNA". Lineage: Eukaryota; Viridiplantae; Streptophyta; Magnoliopsida; Poales; Poaceae. The record is from RNAcentral.